UCCGAGGGNAGCCUACCAUGCAAGUCGAGCGGAAACGAGUUAUCUGAACCUUCGGGGAACGAUAACGGCGUCGAGCGGCGGACGGGUGAGUAAUGCCUAGGAAAUUGCCCUGAUGUGGGGGAUAACCAUUGGAAACGAUGGCUAAUACCGCAUGAUGCCUACGGGCCAAAGAGGGGGACCUUCGGGCCUCUCGCGUCAGGAUAUGCCUAGGUGGGAUUAGCUAGUUGGUGAGGUAAGGGCUCACCAAGGCGACGAUCCCUAGCUGGUCUGAGAGGAUGAUCAGCCACACUGGAACUGAGACACGGUCCAGACUCCUACGGGAGGCAGCAGUGGGGAAUAUUGCACAAUGGGCGCAAGCCUGAUGCAGCCAUGCCGCGUGUGUGGAAGAAGGCCUUCGGGUUGUAAAGCACUUUCAGUCGUGAGGAAGGUAGUGUAGUUAAUAGCUGCAUUAUUUGACGUUAGCGACAGAAGAAGCACCGGCUAACUCCGUGCCAGCAGCCGCGGUAAUACGGAGGGUGCGAGCGUUAAUCGGAAUUACUGGGCGUAAAGCGCAUGCAGGUGGUUUGUUAAGUCAGAUGUGAAAGCCCGGGGCUCCACCUCGGAAUUGCAUUUGAAACUGGCCGACUAGAGUACUGUAGAGGGGGGUAGAAUUUCAGGUGUAGCGGUGAAAUGCGUAGAGAUCUGAAGGAAUACCGGUGGCGAAGGCGGCCCCCUGGACAGAUACUGACACUCAGAUGCGAAAGCGUGGGGAGCAAACAGGAUUAGAUACCCUGGUAGUCCACGCCGUAAACGAUGUCUACUUGGAGGUUGUGGCCUUGAGCCGUGGCUUUCGGAGCUAACGCGUUAAGUAGACCGCCUGGGGAGUACGGUCGCAAGAUUAAAACUCAAAUGAAUUGACGGGGGCCCGCACAAGCGGUGGAGCAUGUGGUUUAAUUCGAUGCAACGCGAAGAACCUUACCUACUCUUGACAUCCAGAGAACUUUCCAGAGAUGGAUUGGUGCCUUCGGGAACUCUGAGACAGGUGCUGCAUGGCUGUCGUCAGCUCGUGUUGUGAAAUGUUGGGUUAAGUCCCGCAACGAGCGCAACCCUUAUCCUUGUUUGCCAGCGAGUAAUGUCGGGAACUCCAGGGAGACUGCCGGUGAUAAACCGGAGGAAGGUGGGGACGACGUCAAGUCAUCAUGGCCCUUACGAGUAGGGCUACACACGUGCUACAAUGGCGCAUACAGAGGGCGGCCAACUUGCGAAAGUGAGCGAAUCCCAAAAAGUGCGUCGUAGUCCGGAUUGGAGUCUGCAACUCGACUCCAUGAAGUCGGAAUCGCUAGUAAUCGUGGAUCAGAAUGCCACGGUGAAUACGUUCCCGGGCCUUGUACACACCGCCCGUCACACCAUGGGAGUGGGCUGCAAAAGAAGUAGGUAGUUUAACCUUCGGGGGGACGCUUACCACUUGGUUCACGGG
Molecule: ribosomal RNA, 1456 nt
Filed under: Vibrio alginolyticus
Lineage: Bacteria; Pseudomonadati; Pseudomonadota; Gammaproteobacteria; Vibrionales; Vibrionaceae
Description: bacterial SSU rRNA
Rfam family: Bacterial small subunit ribosomal RNA
Source: RNAcentral